UUAACUAUUAUCAAGUACUCAGACAACACUAAAUCAAGAGUUUGAGAUCCUCUGGCAGGCGCUGACCAGCCAAAGCCAGUGGCCCGAAGGCGGGCCUGCCAAAGCAACAUAGGUAUGGUAAACAAAGGGUGGGAGAUCUACCCCGAAGGGCAAGUUCUCUGUAAUGAUCCUUCCGCAGCGGAAGUAUAGCAGCUACUUCUAGCACCUCCCGAUCAUAUCUUAACCCAAUAUCUGGGCCACCUCCAUUUGACCUGUGAGCCCAUUGUGUGGGCUGCUGGUAUGGCAGUAUGCCAAUCCCAGCACGGUGGAGAUGUUGCCUGCCAAGGCAGACUUUCUGUUCUGGCGAACCUGGAAGAGAUGUUCACCUACGGAAA
RNAcentral lists this unclassified non-coding RNA (374 nucleotides) under uncultured fungus. RNAcentral describes it as "sequence contains ITS1". The record is from RNAcentral. Lineage: Eukaryota; Fungi.